UGACAGUGAGUCCAUUGCAAU
Molecule: non-coding RNA, 21 nt
Filed under: Caenorhabditis elegans
Lineage: Eukaryota; Metazoa; Nematoda; Chromadorea; Rhabditida; Rhabditidae
Source: RNAcentral